Molecule: ribosomal RNA, 253 nt
Filed under: uncultured bacterium
Lineage: Bacteria
Description: partial 16S ribosomal RNA
Rfam family: Bacterial small subunit ribosomal RNA
Source: RNAcentral
GACAGAUGGUGCAAACGUUGCUCGGAAUCACUGGGCGUAAAGGGCGUGUAGGCGGGAAGGAAAGUCAGAUGUGAAAUCCCUGGGCUCAACCCAGGAACUGCAUUUGAAACUCCCUUUCUUGAGUGUCGGAGAGGAAAGCGGAAUUCCUGGUGUAGAGGUGAAAUUCGUAGAUAUCAGGAGGAACACCGGUGGCGAAGGCGGCUUUCUGGACGACAACUGACGCUGAGACGCGAAAGCGUGGGGAGCAAACAGG